This is a non-coding RNA of Coniochaeta sp. 2T2.1, 92 nucleotides long. Lineage: Eukaryota; Fungi; Ascomycota; Sordariomycetes; Coniochaetales; Coniochaetaceae. The record is from the annotation of a GenBank genome assembly.
GGCCGACUGGUGUAGCGGUUAUCACGUUUCGCUCACAUUUUAACAAGUGUGAAGCUCCGAAAAGGUCCCCGGUUCGAUCCCGGGGUUGGUCA